GAUGAAGAACGUAGCGAAAUGCGAUAAGUAAUGUGAAUUGCAGAAUUCAGUGAAUCAUCGAAUCUUUGAACGCACAUUGCGCCCCCUGGCAUUCCGGGGGGCAUGCCUGUCCGAGCGUCAUUGCUGCCCUUCAAGCCCGGCUUGUGUGUUGGGUCGUCGUCCCCCCCGGGGGACGGGCCCGAAAGGCAGCGGCGGCACCGCGUCCGGUCCUCGAGCGUAUGGGGCUUUGUCACCCGCUCGAUUAGGGCCGGCCGGGCGCCAGCCGGCGUCUCCAACCUUUUAUUUUACCAGGUUGACCUCGGAUCAGGUAGGGAUACCCGCUGAACUUAAGCAUAUCAAUAAGCGGAGGA
Molecule: unclassified non-coding RNA, 350 nt
Filed under: soil metagenome
Description: partial contains 5.8S ribosomal RNA, internal transcribed spacer 2, and large subunit ribosomal RNA
Rfam family: 5.8S ribosomal RNA (bases 1-120)
Source: RNAcentral